AGCUCUGUAAUUCACUUUAGAAUAUCAAGGUGCAAACUUGAAAGAGUAGGUUUUACCAGAGCUU
Molecule: transfer RNA, 64 nt
Filed under: Pectinatella magnifica
Lineage: Eukaryota; Metazoa; Bryozoa; Phylactolaemata; Pectinatellidae
Description: tRNA-Cys
Source: RNAcentral